CCAGACUCCUACGGGAGGCAGCAGUGGGGAAUAUUGCACAAUGGGGGAAACCCUGAUGCAGCGACGCCGCGUGAGUGAAGAAGUAAUUCGGUAUGUAAAGCUCUAUCAGCAGGGAAGAAAAUGACGGUACCUGAGUAAGAAGCCCCGGCUAACUACGUGCCAGCAGCCGCGGUAAUACGUAGGGGGCAAGCGUUAUCCGGAUUUACUGGGUGUAAAGGGAGCGUAGACGGCGAUGCAAGUCUGAAGUGAAAGGCCGGGGCUCAACCCCGGGACUGCUUUGGAAACUGUAUGGCUGGAGUGCUGGAGAGGCAAGCGGAAUUCCUAGUGUAGCGGUGAAAUGCGUAGAUAUUAGGAAGAACACCAGUGGCGAAGGCGGCUUGCUGGACAGUAACUGACGUUGAGGCUCGAAAGCGUGGGGAGCAAACAGGAUUAGAUACCCUUGUACGG
This 447-nucleotide ribosomal RNA is filed under the name uncultured bacterium. Its description in RNAcentral is "bacterial SSU rRNA". It matches the Rfam family "Bacterial small subunit ribosomal RNA", at positions 331 to 793 of the family's 1533-position model. The record is from RNAcentral.